UACGGAGGAUGCGAGCGUUAUCCGGAUUUAUUGGGUUUAAAGGGUGCGCAGGCUGCCUGUUAAGUCAGCGGUGAAAUGUCCCGGCUCAACCGGGGCACUGCCGUUGAUACUGGCAGGCUCGAGUGCGGACGGCGCCGGCGGAAUGUGUCAUGUAGCGGUGAAAUGCUUAGAUAUGCCACAGAACACCGAUCGCGAAGGCAGCUGGCGAGGCCGUGACUGACGCUCAGGCACGAAAGCGUGGGGAU
This 245-nucleotide ribosomal RNA is filed under the name uncultured Bacteroidota bacterium. RNAcentral describes it as "uncultured Bacteroidetes bacterium partial 16S ribosomal RNA". It matches the Rfam family "Bacterial small subunit ribosomal RNA", at positions 524 to 768 of the family's 1533-position model. Lineage: Bacteria; Pseudomonadati; Bacteroidota. The record is from RNAcentral.